RNAcentral lists this ribosomal RNA (253 nucleotides) under uncultured bacterium. RNAcentral describes it as "partial 16S ribosomal RNA". It matches the Rfam family "Bacterial small subunit ribosomal RNA", at positions 524 to 776 of the family's 1533-position model. The record is from RNAcentral.
UACGUAGGUGGCAAGCGUUAUCCGGAAUUACUGGGCGUAAAGCGCGCGUAGGCGGACCUGCAAGUCGGGGGUGAAAGCCCGAGGCUCAACCUCGGAACUGCCUUCGAUACUGCGGGUCUCGAGUCCGGGAGAGGUGAGUGGAAUUCCUAGUGUAGAGGUGAAAUUCGUAGAUAUUAGGAAGAACACCAGUGGCGAAGGCGGCUCACUGGCCCGGUACUGACGCUGAGGCGCGAAAGCGUGGGGAGCAAACAGG